Molecule: non-coding RNA, 171 nt
Filed under: Volvox carteri f. nagariensis
Lineage: Eukaryota; Viridiplantae; Chlorophyta; Chlorophyceae; Chlamydomonadales; Volvocaceae
Description: Eukaryotic small subunit ribosomal RNA
Rfam family: Eukaryotic small subunit ribosomal RNA
Source: Rfam by way of RNAcentral
UGCAUUUCUGCGGAAUCUUAGUUGGUGGGUUGCCUUGUCAGGUUGAUACCGGUAACGAACGAGACGUCAACCUGCUACAUAGACAGCAUUGCACCUGCAGCGUGCACAUCUUUUAGAAGGACUCCUGGCAUUUAGCGAAUGGAAGUAUGAGGCGAUAACAGGUCUGUGAUG